UCUGUGCCAGCAGCAGCGGUAAUACAGAGGCCACAAGCGUUAGACGGAAUCACUGGGCUUAAAGCGUGUGUAGGCGGGAUGGUAAGUACUUUGUGAAAUCCCACAGCUUAACUGUGGAAUUGCUUGGUAUACUGCCGUUCUUGAGUCACCUAGGGGCAGCUGGAACAGAUGGUGGAGCGGUGAAAUGCAUAGAUAUCAUCUGGAACGCCAAUGGUGCAGACAAGCUGCUGGGGGUGUACUGACGCUGAGGCACGAAAGCCAGGGGAGCAAACGGGAUUAGAUACCCCGGUAGUCCUGGCCCUAAACGAUGUCCACUAGAUCGUGGCGGUUUUGACGCCGUCAUGGUCGAAGCAAAAGUGUUAAGUGGACCGCCUGGGAAGUACGGUCGCAAGGCUAAAACUCAAAGGAAU
This 410-nucleotide ribosomal RNA is filed under the name Anophryoides haemophila. RNAcentral's name for it is "partial Bacterial small subunit ribosomal RNA". It matches the Rfam family "Bacterial small subunit ribosomal RNA", at positions 502 to 910 of the family's 1533-position model. Lineage: Eukaryota; Ciliophora; Oligohymenophorea; Philasterida; Glauconematidae. The record is from RNAcentral.